AUUGAACGCUGGCGGCAGGCCUAACACAUGCAAGUCGAACGAGUGGCGGACGGGUGAGUAAUGUCUGGGAAACUGCCUGAUGGAGGGGGAUAACUACUGGAAACGGUAGCUAAUACCGCAUACUAUCGGAUGUGCCCAGAUGGGAUUAGCUAGUAGGUGGGGUAAAGGCUCACCUAGGCGACGAUCCCUAGCUGGUCUGAGAGGAUGACCAGCCACACUGGAACUGAGACACGGUCCAGACUCCUACGGGAGGAAGCAGUGGGGAAUAUUGCACAAGGGGCUAAAGCCUGAUUCAGCCAGGCCGCGUGUAUGAAGAAGGCCUUAGGGUUGUAAAGUACUUUCAGCGGGGAGGCGUUACCCGCAGAAGAAGCACCGGCUAACUCCGUGCCAGCAGCCGCGGUAAUUC
Molecule: ribosomal RNA, 406 nt
Filed under: uncultured bacterium
Lineage: Bacteria
Description: partial 16S ribosomal RNA
Rfam family: Bacterial small subunit ribosomal RNA
Source: RNAcentral